This 253-nucleotide ribosomal RNA is filed under the name uncultured bacterium. RNAcentral describes it as "partial 16S ribosomal RNA". It matches the Rfam family "Bacterial small subunit ribosomal RNA", at positions 524 to 776 of the family's 1533-position model. The record is from RNAcentral.
UACGUAGGGCGCAAGCGUUAUCCGGAAUUAUUGGGCGGAAAGAGCUCGUAGGCGGUUUGUCGCGUCUGCCGUGAAAGUCCGGGGCUCAACUCCGGAUCUGCGGUGGGUACGGGCAGACUUGAGUGAUGUAGGGGAGACUGGAAUUCCUGGUGUAGCGGUGAAAUGCGCAGAUAUCAGGAGGAACACCGAUGGCGAAGGCAGGUCUCUGGGCAUUAACUGACGCUGAGGAGCGAAAGCAUGGGGAGCGAACAGG